Molecule: long non-coding RNA, 7382 nt
Organism: Oncorhynchus nerka (sockeye salmon)
Lineage: Eukaryota; Metazoa; Chordata; Actinopteri; Salmoniformes; Salmonidae
Exons: 2
Source: RefSeq, a predicted model, not a curated record
GCCUGUUCACCCCGCUAUCAUCCAGAAGGCGAGGUCAGUACAGGUGCAUCAAAGCUGGGACCAAGAGUCUAUCUAUCUUCUAUCUCAAGGCCAGACUGUUAAACAGCUCUCACUAACAUACAGUGGCUGCUGCCAACAUAUUGACUUAUUUCAUAGUUUUGAUGUCUUCACUAUUAUUCUACAAUGUAGAAAAUAGUAAAAAUAGAGAAAACCCUUCGGAUGAGCAGCUGUGGCCAAACUUUUGACUGGCACUGUAUGUAGUAAAUAAGUAAAGAACUACAGGUAUUAGGUAGAACGUGUGAUGUAGUGAUGAAGAGUAAAUUAGUGGGAUUGGCGCCAUUUGGUGGCAACUAUAAACAACUGCAUAAUAAGACCUAAUAUAAAUUGAUGUACUCGUGACUCGACUUGUGACUCAGACUUGGAGUCAGACUCGACGGACUGAAAAACAGCUUCUAUCUCAAGGCCAUCAGACUGUUAAACAGCCACCACUAACAUUGAGUGGCUGCUGCCAACAUACUGACUCAACUUCAGCCACUGUAAUACAUUUAAUGAAUUGAUUUAAUAAAGGUAUCACUAGUCACUUUAAAUAAUGGCACUUUAAAAAUGUCUACAUAUCCUACAUUACUCAUCUCAUAUGUAUAUACUGUAUUCUACACCAUCUACUGCAUCUUGCCUAUGACGCAAAGGAAUCACUCAUCCAUAUAUUUAUAUGUACAUAUAUUAAUCCUUCCUUUACACUUGUGUGUAUAAGGUAGUUGUUGUGAAAUUGUUAGAUUACUUGUUAGAUAUUACUGCAUGGUCAGAACUAGAAGCACAAGCAUUUCACUACAUUCGCAUUAACAUCUGUUAACCAUGUGUAUGUGACCAAUAAAAUAGAUUUUGUUUUGAAGUCUCCUUGUCUGAGAGAAUUACACGGUUAUCAAACCAUCAUGCCAGAGUAAGCCUACAGGAAACACAGCCCUUAUUUGAAGUGUAUCUCAAAUCCCCUACGGGAGAAAUGAAUGGUGCAAAAAGGAUUGGAACCAUUUCCGUGUUCGACCACUAGGUUUAAUGGGUAGGAUGACUCACACUGUGCUACUCUAUUGAAUGUUGAUAUUCCCGAAAGGCCAGUCUCUUUGGCAAUGACAAGGAGUGGCACGUUAGCUAAAGAGACUGGUACUUAGCCUAUGUACUCCCUGCAUAGUAGUUGAAAACAAACAAGGUGACCACGUUUCAUGAAUAAUUGUAAUGGCUGUCGUUGGUGGAAGAAGGUGAGGACCAAGGUGCAGCUUGGUAAGUGUUCAUGAUUUUUAAUAUAAUCAAAACUGAACACUAAACAAAAAAAAUAACUAGGAAGAACGAACAAAUGAAACAGUCCUGUCUAGUGAAAACACAAAACAGAAAACAAACACCCACGAAACACAGGUGGAAAAAGACUACCUAAGUAUGAUUCUCAAUCAGAGACAACUAAUGACACCUGCCUCUGAUUGAGAACCAUACCAGGCCAAACUCAAAAAACCAACAUAGAAAAACCAACAUAGACUGCCCACCCCAACCCACGCCCUGACCAUACUAAAACAAAAGACAAAAGAGAGGAACUAAGGUCAGAACGUGACAAUAAUGGCGACAUCACAGUACAGAAUGGAUCCACAUCCACUGACUCUGUGUUGCCUAUAGAGUUUUCUCUACUCAAUCUGCUAAAUCUUUCUCUACAACAAUCUCUGAAUCAGGAGACAAUCAGUACUUCCUAUAAAUAUGUUUGGGGCUGUUAUGGUCCUGAGUGGUUGUCUUGACAGGAUUCAGAGUUGUCCCAUCAGAACCAUCUGAAAAAUAUUAAUUCACGUGUCUUGACUUUGGUAGAUUAAAAAAAUAAUAAUUAUAAACCAGUCUGAAGAAUGAGGGACCAGCGCAUCUGACCCAACAUUUGGGAAACACUACUUUACAGGAAGAGUACUCAUAUAUGUAUCUAGAUGCUAAAUGGAAGAUGUACUAUUUCUGAUUGAAUUUGUCCUGAGGCGUUGAAGGUGAUGUCACCACCAUCUUCAGUGCCCUUUAAUAUCUAGUUCAGGAGGAGAAAAACAUCCUCUUUUAAAAUAACUCUUCAUCAUCAGACACAUACAGUAGAGAGCAGGGUGCUUGUUCACUCAUCACUGAUAUCAGGAGUUUACUUUAACGUCAUUCAAUUUUAGCACUGGCAGAGUUACAUAGACAAGCAGGGAUUCAUAUGGGAACAGAGAAGUGUGAAAUGCACCACAGCAAAUGUGAAGAUCAAAACACAAGUUAGACAUAAGUUAGACUGCAUAUACACAUACUGUAAAUGCUUUGUGUUGACCAAGGUAAUACAUCUGACUUUGGCCCCAUGUUGUACCACUCAUACAAUCUACAAUACAACUGAGAAGGGAAAUAGUAUUAAAUACAAUACCAGCAGAAGAUGGGGAGGUGGUUGACAAGGCUGGUCUUGUAGUAGAGGCUGUACUUCCUGGAUAGUAGUUGAAAACAGAGUGACCACUUUUCAUUGGUGAAUACUGGUGACAUCACAGUACAGAAUGGAUCCACAACUCACUCUGUGUUGCCUGUAGAGUUCUCUACUCCAUCUGUUACAUCUUUCUCUACUCCAAUGUCUAGAGCACUAGACAAGCAGUACUUCCUAUUAAUAUAUUAAUAUGUUUGGGCCUGUUUUUACAUGACCAGUCUUAUACUGUUGUGGAGUACUGCUGGUUGUCCUGACGGGAAUUAGAGAAGUUACACCAGAACUGUCUGAAAAACAUAUAAUCUUUCUGGACCCAGUCUCAAACCCUGACACAGUAAGGAAAACACAAUACCCAGUUAUAUGUAUCCAGAGGACAGAUAAAACUUUUACUAUAUCUGCACACAUCAUACAGAUGAGAGUAUUUUACCUGGGAGAGUAGAGAUGACAUCAUCGUUAUCAGUGGUCUUUUCUUCUAUAUCUAAUUCAGUAGGAGAUGAACAUCCUCUUUUAGUUUAUUAAAUAACCCAUCAUCAUCAUCAUCAUCAUCAGACACAGCAGUAGGAUUCAAAUGCAUCACUAAUAUCAGAAAUACCAGGAGAAUGAAUCAGAUUUGAUAUUAACUUUAAUAUCAUCACAGAUCUUGUGAACUUAUUCAGAUUAUAGGAACAUAACAAGAACACAUACCUGAGAAUGUGGAGGUGAAGUCAAUGGAGAUCUUCAUGUUUCCCUUUUCGGUCAGCGUGCACGUCCACUUCCUGUUGUUGUCCUUCUUCUGGAGUGUCACAGUCAGAGUGAUGUCACAGGAAGAAUCCUGUGUGUUCUGGGAAUUAGUACCUGUUUUAGGGACCCAGCUGAGACUAAAUCCUGACCGGCACGUUCCAUGUUGUGUAUAGGUGAGCAGAGAACACCGUAAUGUCAUAAUUACAUUAGGCUUCAGAUCUGUCACUGCUGUGGUAGAGGAGACUGAGAAAGAGAAAAAGGUAUACAGUACUUGUUGGUUGUUUUCACAUUACAUAUGAUUAUUAACACCACACUUAUACACAGUGACAUUUAAACUCUGAUUUAAACAGUAAUACUCACUAGUUAGAACAGACAGAUGAACAGGAGCAUCACCUCCAUGUUGUGGUCCAGUCUCUGUAAGGUACUGUCGACAGGUGUAGAGUCCAACAUCCUCAGCUCUGACAUCACUAACAUGUAGAGAACAGUUAGACCCUAAACUCAGUCGCUCUGCUCUCUCUGUCUGGUCAACUUUGAUCUUCCCCAAUGUGACCUCUUCAAUAUCACCAGUAGAUCCAUCUCUGUUAUAGAGCCAUGUAGUAGAGGAACAGUUUGGAUAAACCACAUUGUUACACGGCAGACUGACAUUAUCUCCCAUUCUGGAGAACAUAGAGAGAGUUUCUCCACUGACACCUGGAAAGAGUAUGACAUCAGAUAAUUAUUAACUGGUAAUACAGAUGACAUUAUAUUUCAUAGGUAUUCUUAUUGAUAUUCUUCAGUGUGAAUAAUAGUGUAAUAUACUGUCUAUUAUACAAUAGUGAAGAUAAGAGUAAACAGAUACACAACAGAAAUGUCAUCAUAAUAUUAGUCAAAUGUAAACUGAACUAGUUUGGCCGUGUGAAAUAAAUGUGUUCUAUGAUCUCUAAUGACAUAUUCUUACUCUCUCUCCUCUGUCUUACCUGUUAGCAGGUACAAAACGGUCAUAAGCAAUCCCAAAAAUGAUUGAGGGAUGUCAGCCAUGAUAUCCUCUCUCUCUCUCUGGUCUGUCUCUGUGUCUAUCUCUCUCUCUGUCUCUCUCUCUCUCUCUGCUCUGUUUCUGUCUCUUUCCUCUUUCAGAGUGUCUCAGCACUAUGAGUUUCUCACCAUACAGCAGCAUCUCUAUUCAUCACUAUAGCAUCACUUCCUCAAAGUGGUCAUGGUUUUAAUCUAGUUUCUGACACCUUGGUGAGAAUCCUCCAGCUCACCAGCAGUUGAAGGCUGUCAUGACUGUCCUGAUCAGGUCAGGUUACAGGAGACCACAACCCUACAGAUUAUCUCUCAACCCCAACAGAGGAGGAGAGAUCUAGGGGUCUGAAGAUGUGGGGAGUUUUAUGGCCCCUCACUCCCCUGGUAAAUCUCAGGCCACAGACAAAUUCCUUUGUCCUGUUACUAUGGAGAACCAGCCUCAGAACAUUAAACAUGAAAUAAAGGGACUUUGGAACAAUGGUUUUCUUCAGCCACAAUGGUGGUCAAUGGUGGACGAUAGAUGGAAUAUGAAAAUGUAUGUCAUUUUUGUUCUGUUAUUAAAGGAUAAUAGAUGACGUUAUUAUGAAAACAUUGUAAUGUGAAGGGUUUUCCUAGUAUAUGUCUGAUGUUUAUACAUUGUACGUUGUAUGGAAAAUAUAAAAAUCAAAGAGAAUGUUUUGGGGAAGAUGAAAUGUUAAGGUAGUCUAAAAUUGGAUUUGAGUCAAAUCUGGACCUUGCCUCAUUAACUUGGUACGCCCAGAGAAUUGCCCUAAAGGCGGCUACGCCCACUUCUGACCCAAGGGCAUAAAACCUGUGAGUAUAGAAUUUACAUGAGGACUAAGUGACCCCAGCUGCAGCAGGGCCUGAAAAAGUAAACGAACCCAGAACGCAACGCAAGCUUGAGGACAAAGAAAUAUUUUUCUACCCAAGCUACGGAUGAGUAGCUGUGUCUAAGCGGGUGAAUUCAAGUCGAACCACCUAGAUACCAUCGAAUCGUGGUAUCUAAAGGGUUUCAUUCCUAUGCUGUGAGCUCUGAGCUACAGAGCUGUCUGUCCUCAGAAGACCCCUUCCAGAGCAAGGGUGAGGGUACAGACUCCUAAGCCAAAAAGGACACUGACACCGGGAGGACGAGCAGGGAGGUGCGCAGGAGAAGUGCGUCAUCGAACAGCGGAACGGUCCACUCAGAGAAUCCUCGAAGAUCAUCCCCACGUAAUUACGUCAUUAUAUUCUGACCCAUAAGAGCGGCAGUUUGGGGCAAGGCUAGGGUUAGAAUAGCAUAGCUGACAAAUUCACCCAAAUGUAUAUUUCUCUUGUGUACUUUCUUUUUCUCUCUCUUUUGAAAUUCGACGUUCAGAACGAGAUUGUUAGAGGCAACUGGUUCCUUAGCAGCUGUUGUAAAAUCGAUAUUCUGAUACUCUUUGAGUUGAUUUGGGAAAUAGAAACUGAAUAAAAAAAUAGUUUUCCCAUGGUGCCCCAGGUUAAUGAGUCAAUAAUUGCUUGAUUCAGUUAAUCACGUAAUUAGAAACUUGUAAUCAUUCGAUGAGCAACAGUUAUCAUAUUAAUUAAUACAACGUCACGACAAGGCCUUCUUCACAUGUAUGAGAGUCUGUAUUAGUGAUGCAGGGAUUUGGCAUUAAUGUGGUCAUAUUCAAGUGGUGGUCGGUGCCAUUUAAUUGGAUGAUUCAUUCAUAUUCCAGUCACCCAGCUCAGUGUAACAUUGAUAAGUUUAUGCUACUACAUGAUACUAGAAUGAAUACACCCCUGAUCACAGGCAAAUACAGGUCACAUUCAUCGUAGCCAUAAACAAACAGCAUGAUCACUUUGCUUGUUAAUUCCUUCUCACAUCUCGACUCUCCUCCUCUCACCUUUUUCCUUCGCUUGUGGGAUCCAGUGCAAAACACCUCAGCUGUCUGUGACCAGACAACAAAACACUUCUAAGCCAAACCUUCAUAUUGUAACCGCUGACAAUUUGUCAGUUCAUGCUGCAAGAGCUCUGAUAGGUUGGCGGACGUCUUUCGGAAGUUGUCAUAGUUACUGUGGAAGAGGGAUUGGAAGUCAUUCAGAGAUGCUGCUGCCACAUCAUUGGCACUUCCUACAACUCCCUCCCAAGGCCUUCAAAGUGCUCCUGCACAACCACCAGUCCUCUGAACAAGUGUCUAACCCCUACACAGUAACAGUAUGAUCUGAGGAGUUCAAUGUAACACACUGCACUACCAGACACCACAGAUCAUUCACAAGAGCUCUCAAAUUAUUCAAAUGGUUUUCUCCAUCACUAAAGACAUUUAAUAUGACUAUUUAUUGAUUUGGGGGUGUCUAUUUGUUGUGUGACUUUAAUGACCCACUGUCCGUAUAUUAAGGAAGAUUCUACCUGUUUGUGUAUGACAUCCCAUGUUGUGUAUGACAUCACAUGUUAUGUAUGUUUCUACAUAUGUACCAAUAUGUUCUAAACCUGUCAAGUACUGAAGUGGACAUCCAAUCACGUUCCUGUAAUACCAGGGUAUAUUCCUCUUACCAGCUUAUUGAAGCAGCACAUAACUGUGUUUGUAAAGAAUCAGUAUUAAAAAAGGACAGAUGAGUGAAUUUCAAAUGUUAGAGAGGUGAAUGUAACUACAACCAAUGAUGUAGAUAUACACAGAAUAAUGAAUAUUAAUGUCUAUGUCUGCAACUGGUCCUUUUUCAGUGGUUAUUUCAGCUCAGACCACUUCUGUUUUUCUGAGACUGAGCAGAGAGAGAGAAAUAAGUCAUAGUGAUGGGUUGUAUUUUCAUUUUACCACAGAAUAUUACUUCACCCUAAAAAUAACACAUCUGAUCAUUUCACACCUUCAAAGAAGUAGAAAACAACACAAAGAUACCAUGGGAACAGUGGACUGUACUGUUUGUAUGGGAGUUGACAUAGAGACACUGUUUUGGGGGUUUUACUAGAUGGUAUUACUAGAUGGUAUACAGCUAUGGAUGGAAAUACAUUUCUCGUAGCAGGUUAGGAGACCUUACAUAGCAGGUUAGGAGAAUUAGGAUACGUUUGGGAAAGGGGUUAGGUUUAUCUUAAAUUAUCUCCUAACCUGCUGAGAAAAGUCACUUCCAUCAAUAGCUGUCCUCCUUCUAGUUACAACCUGCUUUUGGCUGUUGAGUUUGAUGUAUAUGUAAAUAUUUCCAUUGUUAUAAAUCUGAAUAUAACUGCAGUUAAUGAUGUACAUAAACAGAAUAAUAAGUA